Molecule: ribosomal RNA, 253 nt
Filed under: uncultured bacterium
Lineage: Bacteria
Description: partial 16S ribosomal RNA
Rfam family: Bacterial small subunit ribosomal RNA
Source: RNAcentral
UACGGAGGGUGCAAGCGUUAUCCGGAUUCACUGGGUUUAAAGGGUGCGUAGGUGGGCUGGUAAGUCAGUGGUGAAAUCUCCGGGCUUAACCCGGAAACUGCCAUUGAUACUAUCUGUCUUGAAUACCGUGGAGGUGAGCGGAAUAUGUCAUGUAGCGGUGAAAUGCUUAGAUAUGACAUAGAACACCAAUUGCGAAGGCAGCUCACUACACGAAUAUUGACACUGAGGCACGAAAGCGUGGGGAUCAAACAGG